RNAcentral lists this ribosomal RNA (301 nucleotides) under uncultured bacterium. RNAcentral's name for it is "partial 16S ribosomal RNA". It matches the Rfam family "Bacterial small subunit ribosomal RNA", at positions 509 to 807 of the family's 1533-position model. The record is from RNAcentral.
CAGUAGCCGCGGUAAUACGUAGGUGGCAAGCGUUGUCCGGAAUUAUUGGGCGUAAAGGGCUCGCAGGCGGUUUCUUAAGUCUGAUGUGAAAGCCCACGGCCCAACCGGGGAGGGUCAUUGGAAACUGGGAAACUUGAGUGCAGAAGAGGAGAGUGGAAUUCCACGUGUAGCGGUGAAAUGCGUAGAGAUGUGGAGGAACACCAGUGGCGAAGGCGACUCUCUGGCCUGUAACUGACGCUGAGGAGCGAAAGCGUGGGGAGCGAACAGGAUUAGAUACCCCAGUAGUCCCUGUCUCUUAUAC